RNAcentral lists this long non-coding RNA (832 nucleotides) under Homo sapiens (human). RNAcentral describes it as "non-protein coding lnc-KDM4C-19:10". The record is from RNAcentral. Lineage: Eukaryota; Metazoa; Chordata; Mammalia; Primates; Hominidae.
AAAAUAAUGCUUAAAGAUACUAUUAUUAAAUUACACUUAAAACAUCAGGCAUGGUGCCUCACACCUAUAAUCCCAGCACUUUGAGAGAAAAAUACAAAAAUUAGCCAGGCCUGGUGGUGCAUGCCUGUAGUCCCAGAUACUUGGGAAGCUGAGGUGGGAAGAUUGCUUGAACCUGGGAGGUUGAGGCUGCAGUGAGCUGAGAUGGUGACACUGCACUCCAGCGUAACUGGCAGUAGUAAUCUGGCGGUUGACACUCUCGUUGCCUGUAUAGGCUGAUGGCCCACUCACCUUUUUAGCUGGGCUCCUGACCUGUCCGGCCAGAAAGUUGCCACUGGGGUAAAUUCUUAAAGCGGUGCCUCCCUGAACAAAGGUGAAAACAGUGCUUUUAUUAGUCGUAUGUAGAGGUGGAGCAAAAGCCGUGCUGGUGCAGUUUUCUAUCAUGUUUCUACAUACCUCGCAUGCAUAGAAAAUAGCAAAUAAGGCCGGGCGCAGUGGCUCAUGCCUGUAAUCCCAGCACUUUGGAAGGCUGAGGCAGGCGGAUCACCUGAGGUCGGGAGUUCGAGACCAAACUGACCAACAUGGGGAGAAACCCUGUCUCCACUAAAAAUACAAAAGUAGCCGGGCAUAGUGGCGCAUGCCUGUAAUCACAGCUACUCGGGAGGCUGAGGCAGGAGAAUCGCUUCAACCCGGGAGGCGGAAGUUGCUGUGAGCCGAGACUGCGCCAUUGCACUCCAGCCUUGGCAACAAGAGCGAAACUGCACCUCAGAAAAGAAAAAAAAAAAGAAAGAGAGAGAGAGAGAAAGAAAGAAGGGAAAGGAAAGGAGAGGGAAGG